Molecule: ribosomal RNA, 358 nt
Filed under: Lutjanus novemfasciatus (Pacific cubera snapper)
Lineage: Eukaryota; Metazoa; Chordata; Actinopteri; Lutjaniformes; Lutjanidae
Also listed under: 1 other name
Description: partial 12S ribosomal RNA
Rfam family: Bacterial small subunit ribosomal RNA
Source: RNAcentral
CUUCCUUGUUUCUCCCGCCUAUAUACCACCGUCGUCAGCUUACCCUGUGAAGGGCUCAUAGUAAGCAAGAUUGGCACAGCCCAAAACGUCAGGUCGAGGUGUAGCGUAUGGAAAGGGAAGAAAUGGGCUACAUUCCCUAAUACAGUGAACUACGGACGAUAUACUGAAACACAUAUCUGAAGGAGGAUUUAGCAGUAAGCAGAAAAUAGAGCGUUCCGCUGAAACUGGCCCUGAAGCGCGCACACACCGCCCGUCACUCUCCCCAAGCUCACAGUCUUCAAUACUUAAUAUUCUUAAAAUGCAAAGGGGAGGCAAGUCGUAACAUGGUAAGUGUACCGGAAGGUGCACUUGGAAAAAU